UACGUAGGGUGCGAGCGUUAAUCGGAUUUACUGGGCGUAAAGAGCGCGCAGGCGGUCGUUCAAGUCGAGUGUGAAAGCCCCCGGCUCAACUGGGGAGGGUCACUCGAUACUGAUCGACUCGAAGGCAGGAGAGGGAAGUGGAAUUCCCGGUGUAGUGGUGAAAUGCGUAGAUAUCGGGAGGAACACCAGUGGCGAAGGCGACUUCCUGGCCUGUUCUUGACGCUGAGGCGCGAAAGCUAGGGGAGCAAACGGG
Molecule: ribosomal RNA, 253 nt
Filed under: uncultured bacterium
Lineage: Bacteria
Description: partial 16S ribosomal RNA
Rfam family: Bacterial small subunit ribosomal RNA
Source: RNAcentral